This 562-nucleotide ribosomal RNA is filed under the name Lactiplantibacillus plantarum. Its description in RNAcentral is "bacterial SSU rRNA". It matches the Rfam family "Bacterial small subunit ribosomal RNA", at positions 67 to 598 of the family's 1533-position model. Lineage: Bacteria; Bacillati; Bacillota; Bacilli; Lactobacillales; Lactobacillaceae. The record is from RNAcentral.
CUCUGGUAAUGAUUGGUGCUUGCAUCAUGAAUUACAUUUGAGUGAGUGGCGAACUGGUGAGUAACACGUGGGAAACCUGCCCAGAAGCGGGGGAUAACACCUGGAAACAGAUGCUAAUACCGCAUAACAACUUGGACCGCAUGGUCCGAGUUUGAAAGAUGGCUUCGGCUAUCACUUUUGGAUGGUCCCGCGGCGUAUUAGCUAGAUGGUGAGGUAACGGCUCACCAUGGCAAUGAUACGUAGCCGACCUGAGAGGGUAAUCGGCCACAUUGGGACUGAGACACGGCCCAAACUCCUACGGGAGGCAGCAGUAGGGAAUCUUCCACAAUGGACGAAAGUCUGAUGGAGCAACGCCGCGUGAGUGAAGAAGGGUUUCGGCUCGUAAAACUCUGUUGUUAAAGAAGAACAUAUCUGAGAGUAACUGUUCAGGUAUUGACGGUAUUUAACCAGAAAGCCACGGCUAACUACGUGCCAGCAGCCGCGGUAAUACGUAGGUGGCAAGCGUUGUCCGGAUUUAUUGGGCGUAAAGCGAGCGCAGGCGGUUUUUUAAGUCUGAUGUGAA